RNAcentral lists this ribosomal RNA (638 nucleotides) under uncultured ciliate. RNAcentral's name for it is "SSU rRNA". It matches the Rfam family "Eukaryotic small subunit ribosomal RNA", at positions 341 to 1000 of the family's 1831-position model. The record is from RNAcentral. Lineage: Eukaryota; Ciliophora.
CUACCAUGGCAGUCACGGGUAACGGAGAAUUAGGGUUCGAUUCCGGAGAGGGAGCCUGAGAAACGGCUACCACAUCUAAGGAAGGCAGCAGGCGCGUAAAUUACCCAAUCCCGAUUCGGGGAGGUAGUGACAAGAAAUAGCAACUCGGGCGGUUAUCCGUUACGGGAUUGCAAUGAGAUAAGUCCAAAUCCGUAAACGAUUAACAAUUGGAGGGCAAGUCUGGUGCCAGCAGCCGCGGUAAUUCCAGCUCCAAUAGCGUAUACUUAAGUUGUUGCAGUUAAAAAGCUCGUAGUUGAAAUUCGAAUUAGCUGAUAGAGGGCUUAGGCUAUCUAGCAGUUGGUUCUCCGUCUACAAUCCCUCUUGGGCUUCAGGGUUGCAGAGGGCUGAGUAGACAAUUUACCUUGAAAAAAUUAGAGUGUUCCAGGCAGGUUUUCGCCGGAAUACAUUAGCAUGGAAUAAUGGAAUAGGACUUAGGUCUUUUGUUGGUUUUAGGACUUGAGUAAUGAUUAAUAGGGACAGAUGGGGGCAUUAGUAUUUAAUUGUCAGAGGUGAAAUUCUUGGAUUUAUUAAAGACUAACUUAUGCGAAAGCAUUUGCCAAGGAUGUUUUCAUUAAUCAAGAACGAAAGUUAGGGGAUCA